AAAAACAGUACAUCAACCUGUUGACCUGGCUAUGGCUAAUAGGUUCCAUUCCUGUGCUACAACUUUUCCAAUGACACAUAACUGACUGACUGGCAGCUUUCAGUUUCAGGUUUUAGAGACAAAU
RNAcentral lists this small nucleolar RNA (124 nucleotides) under Castor canadensis (American beaver). The record is from RNAcentral. Lineage: Eukaryota; Metazoa; Chordata; Mammalia; Rodentia; Castoridae.